RNAcentral lists this ribosomal RNA (489 nucleotides) under uncultured bacterium. RNAcentral's name for it is "bacterial SSU rRNA". It matches the Rfam family "Bacterial small subunit ribosomal RNA", at positions 12 to 518 of the family's 1533-position model. The record is from RNAcentral.
UUCGAUUCUGGCUCAGGACGAACGCUGGCGGCGUGCCUAACACAUGCAAGUCGAGCGAGGAGAUCCUUCGGGAUGAUCCUAGCGGCGGACGGGUGAGUAACACGUGGGCAACCUGCCUCAUAGAGAGGAAUAGCCUUCCGAAAGGGAGAUUAAUACCUCAUAACAUUGCAGUUUCGCAUGGAACAGCAAUUAAAGGAGUAAUCCGCUAUGAGAUGGGCCCGCGGCGCAUUAGCUAGUUGGUGAGGUAACGGCUCACCAAGGCGACGAUGCGUAGCCGACCUGAGAGGGUGAUCGGCCACAUUGGGACUGAGACACGGCCCAGACUCCUACGGGAGGCAGCAGUGGGGAAUAUUGCACAAUGGGGGAAACCCUGAUGCAAGCAACGCCGCGUGAGUGAUGACGGCCUUCGGGUUGUAAAGCUCUGUCUUCAGGGACGAUAAUGACGGUACCUGAGGAGGAAGCCACGGCUAACUACGUGCCAGCCGCAGC